UGGGGAAUAUUGCACAAUGGGCGAAAGCCUGAUGCAGCAACGCCGCGUGAGUGAUGAAGGCCUUCGGGUUGUAAAGCUCUGUCUUUUGGGACGAUAAUGACGGUACCAAAGGAGGAAGCCACGGCUAGCUACGUGCCAGCAGCCGCGGUAAUACGUAGGUGGCAAGCGUUGUCCGGAUUUACUGGGCGUAAAGGAUGCGUAGGCGGAUUUUUAAGUGAGAUGUGAAAACCCUAAGCUUAACUUGGGGACUGCAUUUCAUACUGGAAAUCUAGAGUGCGGGAGAGGAGAAUGGAAUUCCUAGUGUAGCGGUGAAAUGCGUAGAGAUUAGGAAGAACACCAGUGGCGAAGGCGAUUCUCUGGACCGUAACUGACGCUGAGGCAUGAAAGCGUGGGUAGCAAACAGGAUUAGAUACCCUGGUAGUCCACGCCGUAAACGAUGAGUACUAGGUGUAGGAGGUAUCGACCCCUUCUGUGCCGCAGUUAACACAAUAAGUACUCCGCCUGGGAAGUACGAUCGCAAGAUUAAAA
RNAcentral lists this ribosomal RNA (528 nucleotides) under uncultured bacterium. Its description in RNAcentral is "partial 16S ribosomal RNA". It matches the Rfam family "Bacterial small subunit ribosomal RNA", at positions 355 to 899 of the family's 1533-position model. The record is from RNAcentral.